UGGAGGAUUUUUUGGACAGCCUUAGGGAUCUUGGGUUGGGCAGCCACGAAAAAGUUCUCUUUGAGCUCUCUCUCCACCUCUAAAGCCACUUGGAAGAUGUCCUCUAUGGUGUCGAAUUUAUGAAGCAUUAUGCGAGUGGAGAUGUCCUUGUUUAAACCAACCUUGAAGCACACAAUGUCAAGAAUUACUUGCUCUACCCGGUGGUCAAGUUUCAAUAUCAAUUGUUGAAAUUCAUCAUAGCAAGCCAUGACACUUUUUCUCCCUUGCCUCAAAUUAUAUAAUUUGGCAAGGAACUCAUGCCUAUAAGUCUCAGGAAAGUACCUUUACCGCAUAAGGAUCUUCAACCAAAAUCAAGGAGGAGGUUGUCCCCUGAUCACCUCAUU
This 383-nucleotide long non-coding RNA is filed under the name Capsicum annuum. Its description in RNAcentral is "long non-coding RNA (CANN_LNC005444)". The record is from RNAcentral. Lineage: Eukaryota; Viridiplantae; Streptophyta; Magnoliopsida; Solanales; Solanaceae.